UGGCCACAGUAUCUUCUUGGCCUGAUAGUAACUUUUAGGCAACGUGUUUUCCUCUAGAAGCAGAUUGUGCAAUACUUGAAGCAGUGAACUAAAGCUUUUGUCACUCCACCCAUAUAUGGCCUUGACAUUAACUAGACUUAACACCACCAACAAAAGCGUCAAGGAAUUCUUGCACCCUGUAUACAAAGGCUUCUUUGAAUCACUUUGCAAUCCUUCAUACAUAGGGGCAUGUGCUUGUUGAAAGAAUCUUGUCCAAGGUCACGAAUCAUAUCCUCCAAGUGAUCUCCCAUUUCUACAUCAAAUGGUUCAGAUUAAGACCCACUCUGCAUGUCUGUCAAUUCACCAUGUCAUAUCCACGUCAUGUAAUUCUUCUUUAUCCCAUCACAUAACAGAUGGUCCUGUAUGUCGUCGACUUUUUGCCGUCUCCCGUUCAAACAAUUUAUGCACGGACAAAAAAACUUCCCAUUUUCAUCCGAUCGGCUUCUUUCUGAAGCAAAUUAUAGGAACUAUUCCACGCCUUCCUCAUACGCAGGGCUCAAGUAGCUUUCAUUCAUCCAACUUCGAUCCAUCUAAAAAAUAACUCCUUCAUACUCCGAAACUCAUUCAAUGCACGAUAUCUCACUUUUUCAUUUAAGGUGUGGCCCUAUCCCAUUCAGGAAGACACAUUUUUAUGAUACAUUCAUGCGUCAAGGUUAAUCUUAUUUUGUUAAAUUUGAUGAAAUUUCGGCAGCAUUUCACAUUGGUCUCCAAGUAUACGACAUGAAAUCGGUGACAUUAAUUCGUCGAUAAUCAAGUAUGCACUCAAAGAACAACUAGAAAUGCAUUGUACCAUAAUUUCAUCAAAUUAAACAAAAUAAUGUUAACCUUAACACAUGAAUGUACCAUAAAAAUGUGAGUCUCCCCAAACUGUCCAAACAGACAAUUCAAGAUUCAAAACAAUGAUUAAUGCAAACUUUCUGCAAGAAUCAUUGUAUUCAAUCUCAAACGGGAAUCUAAGGUUCACUUAUUAUGAACAAAAGUUGAAUCUAAUGCAAAGCACAUUAAUGACAUACAAAUUAAAUAUAGUGAGAUAUAACACAACACAACACAUCGGGAAGAACCCUAACCAAACAAGCAAAGCAAUGGCUGCGGAGUUAGGACAACAGACGGUGGCUCUAUCCCACCCUCGUCCAUACGUGUCGCCAAAUGAUAAGUCCCUCUAAUUUGUUCGCCCCGCCCCCCCCUCUCAAACGGACUUAUAGUUCUUUUUUUUUUCCAACGAGGGUGGAUACCCCCCCCCCAUCCGUUGUCCUAACUCGGCAACCAUUGCUUGCUUGUUUGGUUAGGGUUCUUCCCGAUGUGUUGUGUUGUCAAUUAUAUCUCAAAAGACUAGUCUGUGACAAUAAUAAUAUACAUACUAGUCUGUAUGUACGUACCUGGAGUUUCUAUAAUCAAAGAGCUUCCAUAGCAACACGAAUUACCAGUAUAAUGCUAUAAAAUCUGCAAUAAAUUAAAACUAUUAUAGUUUAUAACUAUUUCAGGCUUUCUCUUAGUCAUGCAAUGUUGUUGAACCUAAUAGGAUGACUAUGCCCUGAUGGAAAAAAAAGGCAAACAAAACAAACAGAUGAAUUUUUCAGGUACAACUAUUAAUGUAUGUGAAUAUCAAAGUAAAAUACUAGAUACAGAACCAGGUUAACAGAGCCGCAUAUGAACAAAAUAGAGCUAGUUUAAAACAAAGAGCUUGGAUGUGGUGGAGAAAAACUUUGGAUGUGGCAGAGAGGAGCUCAGAUCGCAUUACAUUUAUGUAGAAAUUUUGGGGGAGGGCUGCAAGAGGUUUAAGACACACAGUCACGAUGAAAAGAAGUGUUUUUCUUGGUUCUUUCAGUCUAAGGUAUAACAUAGCACUUGGAACAACAAAAGGACUUUCUUAUCUAUAUGAAGAUUGUGACUCAAACAUUAUUCAUUAUGACAUCAAACCAGAAAACAUGCUCCUAGAUGGUAAUUUCAUGGUCAAGGUUUCUAAUUUUGGUUUGGCUAAGCUCAUGAGACGUGAACAAAGCCAUGUUUUCAGAACACUUAGAGGCACUAGAGGGUAUCUUGCACCUGAGUGGAUCACAAAUUGUGCCAUAUAAGAGAAAAGUGAUGUUUAUAGCUAUGGUAUGGUGUUGCUAGAGAUCAUUGGGGGGAGGAAAAACUAUGAUCCCAGUGAAACUUCAGAGAAAUCCUAUUUCCCAUCUUUUGCUUUUAAGAUGGUGGAUGAAGGGAAUGUGACAGAGAUUCUUGACUCAAAGGUGGAAACUUAUGAAAAUGAUCAAAGGGUUCACAUUGUUGUGAAUGUUGCAUUGUGGUCCUAAUCAUAAAUAUUGCUUUAAUUAUAAAUAUUGCUUUAAGUAAAGACAUGGUCCUAAUAUCUUAGAUAGACUAUGACAUCCUAAGCCUAGGAGUACCACCAAAGACAAACUUUAAGGCAAUCCUUACUUCUCAUAUAGUUUUUAUUUCAUUUUUAGUGAAUUCAAUUUAUACUAACAGCUAACAAGGUUUCAGGCUAAAUCCAAAACAAAAUGGGAUAAAAUGGUUUUCAGAUUUCACCUCAAUAAACACAGCUGAUGCUUCACGUGGUUGCAACUUUUGAACCACCUCUACAACUACUUCCUGCAAGAAACAACACAGAUUAUCAACAAUGAUAGAGCCUAUGGCACUUGCUUGAUUACAGGCUCCUAAAUAUGCCAGUGCUUAGCAGGGUUCAAUCCCAAGUCACCACAAGCAUGGAACUCAUCUGACUAGACUCAAGGAUACGCACAGAAUCAGCCAUUAAAUUGCACUAACAAGCUCAAUGAUGGAUUUAUGAAAGUGGAAGCUGUGAAAGUGCUAGAUACUACACAUACUUGGUUAUAUGAGACAAUAGGUCUUGGAGAGUGCAUAAUGAAAUGCUUGAAUAAUUGUUCUUGUAUGGCAUAUACUAAUUCAUACAUUAGAGGUCAAGGUAGUGGUUGUGUCAUGUGGUUUGGUGAUCUAAUUGAUAUUAAGUAGUUUGAAAAUGAUGGGCAGGAUCUGUAUAUUCGAAUGGAUUCUUCAGAAUUAGGUAUACAUAAAGACCUCAUGUAUCUCAAUCAACUUCUUCAAAAUUUCAUUAUACAAGUACAUACAUACACAGAUAUUGUGUGCAUUUUUAUUUGAUUUCUUUUUUUUUUUUUUUAUCGAAUUCAACUAUGAAGGGGAAUAAGAAGAGCACAAGAAGGCGGUGAUCAUAAUAGUUUCUACCACCAUUGCUACAAUUUUAGUAAUUCAACUUUGUUAGUACUGUUGUUAUCUAUUUGAAAUUCCAAACCUGUUUUAGUUGUAUAAAAAUAAGCUUAGUUAACCUUGAACAAUUGAACUACGAACUUUUCCUUUUAACAUAGUAAUACUAGCUAUAUUAAACCACAAAAAUCACAAGUGACACUCUUAACUAAUAAAGAGUAUGUUCAACAUAGUAUACUAGAGUGGGUGUUGCUACUAUUUUUUUAAUGGUAAUAGAAUAGCAUGUUCAGCCCAAGUAAUUAACUUACAGCCGUUUCAUAAUAUUAUAAUAUUAUAUAUUAAGUUUCCUUUUUUUCUUUAAUAAAUCUAAGCAAUCUAUCUAUAAUUUGUAUAUCAGUAUAUGUUAAACUAUAUAUGGCUUAAUCCUUUUAACUAACACCUUUAAACAAAUUUUCAUAAAACAAACAUUUAAGCAGAAAUUUCAAAUCGAGUAUAUGGUAAAAAAAAUAGCAAUUUCAGAGAGAUUCUUGAGUAAGGAAGGUUGAACAAAUGUGAAAAUUACCAUUGAAAACUCACUGCUUGAAGUUAGAUUAUCGAAACUUCUCAACUCUCUGUCAGCUUCAAGCUUCUAGGACUUUAACAGCUGGCUGCUAGUUGUAUUUGACCAUAGUGUGUUAUAAUUUGGGCUUUAGUACGUGUAUUUAAAGCCUUUUAUCAGCUAUGAGAAGCAGGAAGAAGUAUUAUUAAUAUACUUCUUCAACAGCAAUAAUAUAUGUAUAAUGAUACAUUUAAAGUGUUUGUUGAAUCUCCAGAAUAAACAGUUGUGAAAAAGUUAUUGCUACUAUUAUGCAUAUAAUUGCAUGCCUUUACCUUUUUCCUUUAGACUUUUGGUAAAAAAAAAUUGGUAAGCUUGAAUUGUACCUUCCAGACCUGUCCCUAAUACUAAGCAUGGUCACUAUACCCGUUAAUGCUAGUCACAUUGGGAAACCAUACUUUGAUUUUGAUUUGGUAGUUUUUCCUAGACUCUGAUAUUGGAAGGGAUUUGGUAAAGAUUAGUUUAGUUGUCCCUAAGAUGUAUAAAUAUAGACAAAAUUUUCCCAACCAGUAUCUCAAAUAUUGAACAUCUCAAAUUAGUGAAAAUAGUACGUAUACUUACAUUCGUCCAUCAUAUAGAAAGUUGCAUAUGUUUUACCAUAAUAUUCGCCAAAUAGUCUAGAAAUCUCUAAAAAAUAUGAGACCAAUUCUAUUUGAAAUAUAAGGCAAAAAUCUACAGCACUACUUAAGGAUUUAAUCUGAUUCAAACAGGGGAGACCCCACAGAGACUUUUAAACACAGGGAAAAAUUUGUCCAAGAAUUCAGUCAAGGAUAGUUGUUCCAUUUCAAUCACUUCACUCAGCAUAACUAUGCCAAUGGCAUAGGCCUUGUGAUGGUUUAAAAGUAGACACUUUAAGGUCUCACUAAUGCAGGGGAACAUGCCUUAAGUUUAUAAGACAAGGGUUACUCAUACACAAUUUAUACAAAAAGCAACUUGAACAUGCCUUAUAGGAAAGUUUGCUAUAAAUUCUAGGAUCAUUUAAAUUAAGUGAGAUCAAAAGGAUUUGAAACAUAGGACAUAGAUCUUCAAAAUAUUAAGGAUACUUAGAAUGAAUCCAUCAGGCUUGAUUGGACAUCAAUUAUGAAGACGAAUUUGGGAUUUGGCUAAUUUUCAGCAUGUACACUUAACAUAUUAUUCUCUAACGUUCUAAUUUCAUGGCCAUAAUAAAUUAGCUUAUACACACUUUGUUGACAUACUAGUAAAGAUUGAGAAUAAGGAAACAAACAUAGUAAUCACCUCUUCAAAGGCUCAUCAAAUCAGAUUCAGUACUAAUAUCAAAACUACAACUAUAAUUAGGAUCUCAAACAUGGCUUAUAAGCAUCUUUUCAAAUUGUUGACAUAUCAGAAGCACAACGAACCAGAAGCAACAAGAAGAAAUAUGGAAGUAAGUUUUUCACUUAUAGUUAUGAAAUAUUUACCAUAUGUAAUCAUUCUUAAAUUGAUUUUCACUUAUAGAUGAAAUUAGUUUAUUAUUAAACUGUCAAGAAGUUAAAAAAAACUUCUAUAAAAUGGAUACUUACAAAGUUUAUUCGAUUAUACAGGACUAAAUAUGGAAGCAAAAAUAGAAAAAACAACAUGGGAGAAGGAAGAAGUAGAAGCACAAGUGGAAAUCUGGAAGUACGCAUUUGGAUUUGUGGAAUUAGCAUUGGUGAAAUGUGCCAUUGAGCUUGGCAUAGCUGAUGCCAUUGAAAGCCACGGAAGCUCUAUGACACAGUUUGAUCAUCAACUCUUAGGUGUGUAGCUAUGCCAUCUACCUAACAAAUGAUCAACUAGCCUAGCUACCAAUAUAUACCAUCAUAUCCAUAUAUAGCAAAAAAGAAGAAAAAAAGCCAUGGUUGGUACACAAACUAUAAACAAAAACUACUUAGCCUGGUAAGCCUAUCUAACAUAAUAAUUCAUUAAGCAAAAUAAUAUCCCAAGAGAAUAGAAUCAUGAACAAAAUUUUGAAGAACAAAGUACGGUAUUUUUUUAUAAAUGGGUAAAAAAAAGGGAAGCACGAAGUAUGGUAGUUUUUGCAUGUAAUUACAUUUACAUCUAAUGCCUUCUUCCAUCAUUCUCUACUAGAAUCACUACACUAUCACACUUAUAUCUCUUUUAACUAAACAAAAAGGCUGAAGGAAUCACUGAAUACUCAAUUAAAAGCCUUUAAUGUUCAAAACUUGAAGAGAAAAUGAUAAAAAAACAGCUAUGAAAACAGAUUCAGUAAAUCACUACAAGUUACUAACAAUAACAGCUAUCUCUGGGAGUUACAAUCUUACAUUCUUUGAAUUGUUACAACUAUCAAAACUUGAAGAGAAAAUGAUAAAAAAAAUUAUAGAAACAAAAGUGGCAAACGGAACAACGAACUCGCGAAUCCAAUGGACAACUUUUAUGUUCACAGCAUUUCCCUCCCUACGUACUCACCAAUCCAGCAACAAAACGAACUCACGAACCCGAUUUUAACAUUCUAAAGGAAGAAAGGUUUGAGCAAGAUGAAGAUUUGAGCAGCCACGUACCUAAAUCGGGAAGUGACAAACAAGAACUCGUGGAGUAGCGUAGUUGCAGGUUUGUGGUUUGCGGCAAAAAAGGAGACGACGAACAAAGCGAGAAAAGGUUUUGGGGUUUUACCUGCAAUGGCAGUGACGACAAUGGCGACGACGACCUGAGGGUGGCUUUACGAGACUCAGCAAGGAGGGUUUGCGAGAGACUGAGCGUGAAAUGAAAGGCUUUUUAGUUUCUAAGUUUAAUUAAAACUACAACAUCGAUUUUAAAAAAAAAAACAAUGUUAACAUUGGUUUUUUAAAAAACUGAUGUUAACAUAGCCCUGCUAACAUCGGUUUUCAUAAAAUCGAUGUUAGCUACGUCAUGUUAACAUUGGUUCUUUAAAAACUGAUGUUAACGAGGCUAUGUUAACAUCAGUUCUUUAAAAACCGAUGUUAACGAUGCCAUGUUAACAUCGAUUUUGACAAAAUUGAUGUUAACAAACUGGGCUUAAUUACAAGUAUGUCACCGCGUUUUUGUUAACAUCGGUUUUGUCGAAAACUGAUGUUAACCUAGCGAUGUUAAAUGUAUAAUUUCUAGUAGUGCACUUGCACCCCCACGCUACUUUGAAAACUCUUUUUCCUCAGUCGGAAAAUCCCACAUGAUAGUCGUUGCAACACUGUCACACGACGCUAACGAAGUGGUUUGUGGCCUCACCCUCUAGGCACAACGCCAAUGAAGGUAAGUGAUGAUCAUUUUUUGGUUACAAAUGCUCUGGUCUGUUGUGGUGUUGGGUUCCAGUGUGGGUGUUUGGCUUCUGUGAAAUUGGUGCUUCGAAAUUGUGUUGGGUCUCUUUUUCGCUAGAAAUAUGUUUCGGAACACCUAUUUUGGAUAAGGAUAACAUUCUUGAACAAGCAGUCCAGAAUACAUGUUCUUAAGUUAGCCUCAUCUAGAAUACAUGUUCUUGAGUUAGCCUCAUCCAGAAUACAUGUUCUAAAACACAUUUUGGGAUUUUCAAGUCUAUUAUGGAAUGCCCAUUUUGUAAUACACUUGUAAAUCCAAAAAUAUGCUCUGAAACACCUGUUAUGUAAUCCAACACUUGAUUUUUUUUGCUUCUAGAAUAGAUAUUCCAAAACACAUUCCAAAUUUACAACUAUAUUACAAAAUAAGUAUUUUGUAAUACAACACUUUUGAUUUUUGUCAAUAUCCUUUUUGUAUUUCCUAUAUUUGUCAUCCUUCUCCCAACCCAACACAACAUAUGUCUUCCUUCUAGGUUGUAUGUUUAUUGUGUCUAACCUCAAAAUGACAAUAGCAAAACCCAACCCAAAUGCAAUUGCCCGAACCCAUUUCAAUAACCCAUCUUGAGUAUCAAAAACCUACUUAAACAAUAUAAGAUAUAAGGUUCUCAAAGUUCACCUUUCCAUGUAUUAGAUAAAUGAACAAUUACAUAAAUUAUAUAAUUAAUUACAUUCGUACUACAAUCAUGAUAUUUUAUGUCUUCCCUGAAUGGCAUCCUUGUAUCUUCAUCCAUGUCCUCAAGCAUAUUGACUUCAUCAGACAUUUUGUUGAAGUAACCAUCCUCAAUACAAACUACAAAUUUAAACUAACAACAUUGAAAACAAAUGAAUUUCAAUUACAUUAUUUAAUUCCUAUUCUAAAAAUUUGAUAUCACAAUAUAAAAGAAACUUUUGAAUUUAUAUUAUAAUGACAUCAUAUUUGCUUUGCACUAAUAUCUUGGUCUUAUUUUUACAAGUUAAAAAACAACAAAAAAAAAACAACAGACAUCAUCAAUAAAUUAAACAAUGUUUUGGGAAAAAAAUGCGUCCCAGAACAACAAUUCCAGAACACGAUUUUUUGAUUGCGUCCUCCAUAACAUACUAUAACAUGUUCCAGAAUGCUUAUUUCGGAGCACAAAUUAAUAUCCCAAUUAUUAUACGGAAAAAAAAUCUAGAAUCUUAUAAACUUUGUUUCAAAGAACACAUUAUGAAUGGUAAUAAGACUCUGGAAUAGGCUUUUUGGAAAACAAGUAAAUACUUUCCGGAAUAGCCAUUCCGGAGAUUCCUUUUUGUCUCCUGGUAUGCUAAUCUAGUAGGUGUUUAGCAUUUUUGGGACAGCUAUUCCGAAAAGUAUUUACAUGUUUUCUAGAAAGCCUAUUCUGAAGUCUGAUUACCAUUCCAAAACAUAUGUUUUGUUAUUGGAUAAUAAACUUUUGGAAUACCUAUUCUAGAUACAUUUGGCUUAAUUGUACUCCCAAAAAGCAUAGUCCAGAAAACAAAACAAAAAAUAAAAAAAUAGAAACAACAAACCAUAGCGUCUUCGUCAACCAAACUUCACCUAUCUUCAUCAGAACUAUGCAGAGAUGAAUGAAAACACAUUCAAUGUCUUCAUUUGUGGAAAUGGCUCCUACUUCGAUGACAUCAAAUGCGCGAAGAGGAUAUGGAGGGGACGAUGCUAGCUGUGGAGCAUAAGUUGCAGAGAGUAGGAAAUGAGGUGUGAGGAAGACCUUUAGGAGAGAUAAGGAGAAGAGAAAAGUUAUAAUAUGAAAAGGGUAGUUUAGGGAUAUUCAAAAAAUUGGGAAGUGCAGGAAGCACAGGGGAAGUACAGAAAGUAAAGGCCCUAUUAUUAUAGAUGAUAAGGAGACCAUUGAGUUUGUUGCAUGAUUAUGGGAAGCCACAUAAAGUUAGUUUCCAGAAAGACCAACAACAUGACAUAAUGGCUUCAUGAAUCAAGAGUUGUCUCACAUGAUAAAAGAGAAGGUUAGUAACUCCAGUGUAGAGCUGUUAAAAUAGGCCCAAACCUAUGGACCAACCCGGCCCACCACAAGUUCAGGUUGGGCCAAACAAACAAAGAUGUAAAACAAUUAAUUGGGUGAAAAACUGAACCCGAUCCACUUAUGAUCCGACCCACCCGGGUUAAACCCAUGGUGGGUUGGGUUGGCCAACCUAAUCCACCUAAAAAAAUAAUCUAAUAUUUUAUAAUAUAUUUUAAAACUUCAAAGUUUUAGACUUUUAGUAUUUUGUAAUAUUGUUUUAAGACUUCAGAGUUUGAAGUUCUAGACUUCAAUUUUGUUUAUUUAGUGUGUGAUAAUAUGCAAAUUUCUUGUGAUAAUGUGUCUUGUUGUAGGUGUGGUGUGUGGAUAGUGGAAGAUUUAAUUUAACUAAUAUUUUUCUAAUUUAUUCAAAAACAAAAUUCUAAAAAAAUUGGUUUAAAAAUGAUUUUUUUUUAAAAAAAAUUUAGAUGGAUUGGUGAGCCAACCCAUUUAAGCCACAACCCAUGGUGGGCCAGGCCAAACAAUUUUUUAAUUUUAAGACUAAACCUUAAGUGAGUUAGGUUGGGUUGACCCACUUAUAUAGGAUGAGUCGAGGUGGGUCAGACCCAACACGUCGGGCCAUUUUGACAGCUCUACUCCAGUGGAAUUAUUCUUUGUAUUCUACAACGCAAUGAAUCGAUUUAGAAAAUCUCUUGUAGAUCAAUUUUCAGCAACGUAUUUAAAAUGUGUAUCCCAAUAUAUAAAAAAUAUCACCAGCUCCAAUAUUAAAUCAUUUUUCUGAAAUUGACAGUAAAAUGUCUCUUUUAGGGGAGUUUGGUUGGGAGAAGUUUUUCAUGUAUGAGAAUCAUAAUACUUGGGAAUGAAAAAAUCUAUUUGGUUGUCCAUAAAUACUUUUGGGAAAGUUUCCAGGGAAUAAAAAAGUUGCACAACAUUUUCAUUAGUUACUUUAAUUAUCUUGGGAAGCUAAGAUUCUCACCCCACAAGAAAAAUUCGUGGGUAACCAACAAAAAACAUUAUUGGGAAACCCUCUUUCUCAAGAAUCUUAGAUAUUAAAAUAGAUAUCAAACAUGAAAACAAAGAUUCUCAAUCUAAUAUUCCCAAGAAAUUGAAAAUUUAUCCCUACCAAAUGCCCCUAACAGUUUAAUUCCUGAAAAAUUAUGUAAAUCAUAAUUUAUAGGAAUGACUAAAAUUUAUUUGAUUUAUUUUUAAUAUUCUUAGGAACAUUUUUUACUAUGUUUGACAAAAUUAACUAAAAAGUUAGCUGGUAGUUGAAAGCUGGAAGCUUUUAAACUAGCUUAUUUAGACUGAGUUUGGCAAAAACUAGCGAAAAAGCUCAGAAAGCUAGAAAGUUAGCUGGAAGCUUUAAGCUAACUUACUAAAUCAUAAGUGUUAGAUCAAGAUGGAAUUUAGAAAGGGAGUGAAUAUAUUCUUUCAAAAUAUUUACCAAUUUGAUCUUAAUAUAGAUUAAAUUAACCCUUUUAAAUCAAUCAAAGUCUCUUCAAAAGAUUAUAAUAAAUCAGAAACUUCUAUGAUUAUAACAUGUGAAAAAAAAACAAUUUUUUAUGAUGACCCUUAAGAUCAAUUCCAAAACCAAGAUGAAUUCAAGACACAAAGUUUAGAGAAUAAGAGGAUCACGCAAGAAUUUAUGUUUGGACUUACAUCCAGUUGUUCUAAGUGCUCUUAGAACUUUCACUAUAUAGAGAAAAUAAGUACAAACACUAUACAAAUACAAUUCUCUAAUAGAAAUCAAAUCUUUCUCUUGAACCCUACAAGAAAAGACUAAGAAUUGAAACUUUAUCCAUUCUUUAACCCUCUUGGUAACUCUAACCAAGAAAUGCAAUCUAAAAAAAUGAAAGAUAAAGGAUUGAGUACACCUGAAAUAUGUAGAUCUCCAAUGUUCAAUUUCUCUUCACAAGAUGAUAAAUUCAUGAUGGUAUAAUGAAUGAUUCUUUGAUCAACGUCAAUCUUCAUACUAAAUGCAGUACAAUUAUUUUAGAAGACUCUCUUGAAAUAUUUUUUUCUAAGACUAAUGUAUCAAGAGUCUCUCAUAAAGAAAACACAUACGAGUAUUUAUAAAUUUUGAUAGUUAAAACAAAUCUAAUCAAUUAUAAAAAAAAGGUAAUCGAUUAAUUCUUCAAAAUCCCCUUUGAUAUGCAUUUCUAGAAAUGGGUUAAUCGAUUGAUUCAUUUUAGUCUGAGUUUCUCUGUUUAUUUUUUGUUUUCUGGGUAAUCGAUUAUCAUGUGUGGUAAUCAAUUAAAGAAUCACACAGAGAACUUUUCUUUGUUUCCAGGUGCUGGAUAAUUUAUUAUCAAAUGAGAUAAUCGAUUAUCUUAAGUUACAGAUAAUUCCUUUUUUGAAACUGGCUUGGGCAUUCGAUUACCAGGUUAGGCAAUCGAUUAAUUCCAUGCUUCUAGCCAAAUUUCAAGUAGAAGUAAGUUCUUAAGAAACUUAGAGAAUAAGAAUAAUUCAUUCACUUCAUAUUUGAUCAGCACUAAGCAUGAAAAAGAGUUAGAGUAUAUCACACACAUGCCUAGUCUAAAACAUUCAAUACAAAUGUCUCAUCUAUUAAACAUGGUAGGCAUUGCAAAAUUAUCAAACCAAAACUAAGACUAAGGGCUUCAAGCUUUGAUCUAACAAUAAGUGUUUAGUGACUAUGUUUGACAAAAUAUUUCAGCUAACUUCUAGCUUUUUUAACUAGCUGAAAAACUCAUUUGGUUGUUCGGCAAACAAGCUUUUUUUUAUUAGCUUUUCAGUAGCUUCUAGUGUCUUUUACAACACAAGCUUCUAGCAUUUUAUAUUUUCUUCUCUUUAUAUUCUUAAUAUAUUUAUCAAAUUUUUUGCUUACCCCUUUUAAACAAAUCAUGAUUUUAUUGUUUUUGAAUCAUUUUACACUUGUGUUAAAGUAGUCAAAAAAUGUAAAAUGUCAUAAAUGACAUAUUUUAAAAAUGUAAUAAGGAAAUUGAAAAAAUAUUUUAAGGAUAAAAAUGGAAUAAAAUAUAUAAAGCUUGAAGCUAGCAUUUUUAAGAAAUGUUAUUUCAAAUAGCAUUUUAAAAAAUGUUAGAAGCUACUAAAAAAACAUACAAGUUACGUAAAAAGACUUGUUUAUCAAACAGUCAAGCUUUUCAACUAGUAAAAAAAGUUAAAAGCUAGCUAAAAUGACUUGUCGAACAUAGCCUAAAUCUUAGUGUUCAGUAAAACUAAUUAUUGAAGUAGUUGAAAAAUGUAAAAUGACAUAAAUGACGUAUUUAAAAAACACAAUAAGGAAAUUGAAUAAAUAUUUAAAGGAUAAAAAGAAAAUAGAAUAUAAAAGUUAGAAACUAACGUUUUAAAAAAUGUUACUUCUAGUAGCGUUUCAAAAAAUGCUAGAAGCUACUUAAGAAAGUUUAUUUACCAAACACUCAAACAAGUUUUUAGCUAGUAAAAAAAUUAGAAGUUAGUUGAAAUGAUUUGUCGAACAUUACUUAUAUAUGUCUAUUGGAAAUAAAAUAUUUCCGCAUUUAGUUUGAUAGAACUUUCCCAAAAACUUUUUCCAUAAACUAUAAUUAAUUUUAAUUAUUUACUACCACUACUAAAGAAAUUAGUUUUAACAUCGUUACAUUAACGCCGAUUUUAGAUAAAAUCGAUGUUAACAAAAAUGUGGUAGCAUAUUCGUAAAUAACACGACUUCGUUAACAUCAAUUUUUUAAAAAAUUGACGUUAACAAAAUAAUGUGGUAACAUAUUCGUAAAUAACACGACUUCAUUAACAUCAAUUUUUUAAAAAAUUGACGUUAACAAAAUAAUGUUAACAGUAGUUUGUCAAAAAAUCAAUGUUAAUAUUAGUUCGUUACGGUUUUUAAAAAACUAAUGUCACUAGAGACUAAUGUUAAUAUUGGUUUUUUAUAAAACCAAUGUCCACACUUAUAUAUAUAAGUCUGAAGCACCUGCCUCAUUUGAUUCAAAACUAUCCAAAUUCCCUCGCUUUCUAAGUUCUAGUGAAACCCUAAUGCCGCUGUGGAUUGGAAAGGUUUGGGUUUGUGACAUUGCUGAGAUUGGAAGUGUUUUCAUGCAUAGUGGGGAGAAGUCAUCCUUUUCAUUCCCUACUCAUUGGUGCUGAGAUUAAGAACUGCUCUGGUCAGGUAUAUAUAUUUAUUUUGAUCAUUUGUACAAAUUGGACUGAGUAGUGUCUUUUAAUUUUUAUUUUGGUUAUGUGUGAACAUUAGUUAUUGUAUAUUUUGGCAAAGAAAUUAAUCUUUAAUUUUUGAAUUUUCUCUACCAAGGUUAUGUAUAUUUGAAUUUAACAGAAUUUAUCUGUUUAGAAACAUGAAUUUAGGGUCCUUCUGCAAGUAUCUGCAUCUCAUUUUUGUAGGCUAUCCCUUGAUGCUCAAUUUUAAAUCUUACAAAUAGGAAUGAUAUAUUGAAUAUGCUCUCAUUUAUGCUUUUAGAAAUAAAUUUAUGAAAUAUUAAGGCAAAGGUUAUUAUUCUGUUUCAAUAUAAAUGAGGUAUUCCAAUGCAGCUGAACAAAAUUGGAAGGGGGUACGUGGAAGCAUGACAGCAUGGUUGCUGUAGAAUAUUGCUAAUUUAUUUGUAUAUAAUGACAAGCAGUGUUCGUGGCUUAUAUUCUGGGAUAACAAAGAGUAGGGGAUGUAUAAUGGCAAGUGUUCGUUGCUGUAGAAUAUAGAAUUAUGAGUUCACGUGUAGCUUUAGUUGUUUAUCUUUGAUAAUUUGAUACUUAAUAGGUUUUGUACUUGUUUUUAAUUAGAUCUGUAAUGUUCAUAUUGGUGGACCAUGACUAUUGUGCUUUACAUUACAUGAUUAUACCUUUGUGCUUCAUCAUGGUGAGCAUCACUUGGAAGUAUAUUAUUUUAAUAUACAAUUUAUAAUAUAAUUAGGUUCCAUUAUAUACGAUGAAAACCAAAAAUCAUCUCUACGAGACACACUCUUAUAAUGUUUUUUCCAAGAAAAUAAUCAAAAUCAAAAGCAGAAUUAUAAUUUCUCCCAAUUUUUAAUUAAAAUCAUCCAAUAAAAAAACUAUUACGAAUUUUUAGUUAAUAAAUAUUUGAUGGGAUAAUAAAAAAUAAAUAUUUGUAUUUUCAAAGUUAAUAAAUAUUAUAUUUUAUUAAAUUUUAGUUAUUACAUAAUUCAUUUUUUCAUAUUUGAUGGGAUAAUAAAGAAUUAAAAUAUUAUUUUACAUACAAAUAUUUGUUUACAACAACCUAUUACAAAAAUUUAGUCCCUUUCUUUUUUAUUUCUUUUUUUCCCUUUUGUGUGAGUAUAUAUAUGUGUGUGAGACUAGGAAUUAAUUAAUUAAUCUUUGUAAAUUUUAUGUGAUUUGACUAGAUAAGAUAUAUACUUAUACGGAUAAUAUGGUCAUUUAGUUUUAUUUGUUAUACAAUAAGUUUGACAAUUAUUUGAAAGAAAUUAUUAACGGGUCAGUUAUAUUUUGUGAGAAAUUUAUUUUAUCAUAAAAAAUUUGACAUUAACUAUUUGAUGUUGUUUGUUUACAUAUUUUACAUUUUUUGCUUUAUUGCUUAUUUUAUGACAUUUAUUUUUCUAAAAAAAUAAUAUUAUGUAUUGAAUGUUAACAUCGAUUUUCAAAAAAUUAAUAUUAACUUUGAGUUCGUUAAUGCUAAUGGUUUCAACAUCGUUAAAAAUUGAUGUCAAAAGUAUAAAAAAAAUGAUAUUAAAAGUCUAUUUCUCAGUAAUGUAUAUUAAAAGAUUUAAUAAGAAUAAUGUAAUAUUUUUACUGAAAUAGUUUUUUUUUCUCAACUCGAAAAGGUCAGAUUUUUAAAAAUAACCCAAAUAUGAAAAAUAAAAAUUUGUUUGAAUCAAAUAUCUCCUUUCAGGUUCGAAAAAUUAAUGAUGCUGGAGGACAACUCUUUCAAUCCUAGAGUUCCCUCCAAUGACAUCAACAAUCCUCUUCCACCGCUAUCCAAAAUACAAACUCCUGUCAUGCAAAACUCAAGAACUUAGCCCCAUAUGAUCAGGUUUAAAUAAAAAAUAAAAAUAAAAAAGAAAUAGAAAGAAGAAAGUGCUAGCAGAGGAAAUAAAGCUAAAAUGAUUAAGAGGAAGAUGCCACGCAUCUCAGAUCAGUAUACAGUAAAUCGCUACUUGAGUUUAAAAGUGUAUAUAAAUGUAUUGGUAAUAUUAGUUUAGGUAUUAAAUGAAGUAAUUAAAACAAAGAAUGAUAUGAGUUCAGCCCAUAAAUCAUGUUGGUUAACGUGUGGAAGUUAAAAUUGAAUUAUUUAGAUAUUAUUUAAAUUUAAUUAUUAGUAGAAAUAAUUUUUAAUUAAAUUUUAUUUAUUUUCCGGACAAACUCUGGAUUAAUCAGAAUAGGGUCUCUUUUUUCUGAUGAAUGGAAGGGUUAAAGAAAAAAAAAAUAACUUUCGUUUACGGGCGGUCAUGCUUGUGAUUUUGGAAUUGUUUCAAACAAAAUGGGUGCGUGGAGUUUUCCAAAAUUGGUUGAAAAGAAUUAAAUUUGAUCAAGUACUAUGAGUAUUCAAGGCCAAAUCAUGGAAAUUGCAAAUGCAAUUCAACAGGAAAGCCUUGUUUGUGUUAAUUUCUAAUCUAACAUAAUGUUUCUAAUUUCAAUUUAGCCAACUCAAUUUUUGAGCCAAAUAUCAUAUAUGUUUUCAGUUAGAGUAGUUUGCAGAUCCGCAUACGGGCCUUAAUUAGUUUAUACUAUUAUUUAGUAGCAUUCCUUCAUUAGGAUUAAUGGUUUAUUUCUUGAAAGAAAGAAAAAAAAAAGGUACUAAACUAUUAACUAAUAAUUUACUUAUACUACCAUUAUGUCCAUAAACUUGAUCAGUAAGUGUAUAAUAAGUGAUUUGAGCCUAGCCAAACAUAGCAAAUCUCAUACAACUAAAGUAUAUAUGCAGAAAGCAUUUCUUGGCUCUAAUAUGGUAUAUAUCUAAAUCAAUUCUCCAGUGUUAAGACUCUUUUUCUUUGUUAGUUAGCAAUUAAUCAUGAGUCAAAACCAGAAACUAGCUACUACACUCCCAUGCCAUAAUGCGUAAAACAAUUCAAUUAUUUGGUAUGGCAAUUGAAAUUAUUUGUAUUAACACCUUUCCAAAGGAGACAAAGACGUCGGUGCAUUGAGAAAUGUGAAAAAAAAAUAUUAUCACUUGUGUGGACUUGUCAAUGUUCCCGUUAAAUUUCCAACUUUGCAACUACAAGAAGACAGCAUUCACCUACACAGCAAUUGAAAAUCCACACCGAAGAUUGACCUUUGUACAACGGUGCUAGAAACCGCGUCACUAGUAAUAACUAUUGGAUUGAGACAUGCACUUAACAGUAAGGCCCCCAACUAAUAUAAAAACCAGUUAUUGGGUGUGUUACUCAUCAGCAACUACAACGUGAGAAACAUGGCUUCCUUAAGCUCCUUAGUGCUGCUCCUUGCAGCUCUAAUUCUAUCCCCUCAAGUUCUUGCAAACUAUGAGAAUCCCCCAGUGUACAAGCCUCCCACUGAGAAACCACCAGUUUAUAAGCCCCCAGUUGAGAAGCCUCCUGUUUACAAACCUCCAGUUGAAAACCCCCCAAUUUAUAAGCCUCCAGUAGAGAAGCCACCAGUGUACAAGCCCCCAGUUGAGAAACCCCCAGUGUACAAGCCCCCAGUUGAAAAACCACCAGUGUACAAGCCCCCAGUUGAGAAACCACCAGUGUACAAGCCCCCAGUUGAAAAACCCCCAGUUUACAAGCCCCCAGUUGAAAAACCACCAGUGUACAAGCCCCCAGUUGAGAAGCCCCCAGUUUACAAGCCCCCAGUUGAGAAGCCACCAGUUUACAAGCCCCCAGUUGAGAAGCCACCAGUAUACAAGCCACCAGUUGAGAAGCCUCCAGUGUACAAGCCACCAGUAGAGAAGCCUCCAGUUUACAAGCCACCAGUAGAGAAACCUCCAGUUUACAAGCCCCCAGUGGAGAAACCUCCUAUUUACAAGCCACCUGUUGAGAAGCCUCCGGUCUACAAGCCACCAUAUGGAAAGCCACCAUACCCAAAGUACCCUCCAACUGAUGACACCCAUUUCUGAAGGAUGUCAAGAGGUGUAUUGAGUAUAUGCUAAAUAAGAGGUGCUCAAAAUGUAGUUAUAGAUUACAAAUUAU
Molecule: long non-coding RNA, 17122 nt
Filed under: Glycine max (soybean)
Lineage: Eukaryota; Viridiplantae; Streptophyta; Magnoliopsida; Fabales; Fabaceae
Description: long non-coding RNA (GMAX_LNC001966)
Source: RNAcentral